UUGAGAGAGAGGAGGGAUAAGUGAGCAUGCAGAGUGCUGUGGUCAGUGUCAAAAUGUGACAUGAUUUUCCCAGGCCCAGGUAUGCGUAGACCUGUCAUGGGAGUCGGAAAAAUGGCCAGCAGGAAGGUGUGCAGCAGCCACUGGAAUGGCCUCUUCCACCUCCUCCACUAACAGCUCCUCAUCAGCCGGCAGUGGGAUGUGAUCCUGAAGGGCCAUGUUGUGCAGAAGCGCCGUCACCAAAACUACACUGCACGCCUUUGCAGGAUGGAGCUUCAGGCCACCAGCAGAUUUGCUCACACACCUAAAGCGCCAUUUCCACAUGCCCAGGGCCCUCUCCACAACAACGCCUACAGUAACACUGUGUGUGAGUGUGUGUGUGUGUCUGUGUGUGUAUGUUGGUACAGCUGGCGCAGAUCCUAUAACCAUUUGAGAAUUAAAACAUUUUGUGCUA
Long non-coding RNA from Alosa alosa (allis shad), 451 nucleotides. RefSeq lists it as uncharacterized. Lineage: Eukaryota; Metazoa; Chordata; Actinopteri; Clupeiformes; Clupeidae. The record is from RefSeq and is a predicted model, not a curated record. The transcript is spliced from 2 exons.